Molecule: ribosomal RNA, 393 nt
Filed under: uncultured bacterium
Lineage: Bacteria
Description: partial 16S ribosomal RNA
Rfam family: Bacterial small subunit ribosomal RNA
Source: RNAcentral
AUACGGAGGAUGCGAGCGUUAUCCGGAUUUAUUGGGUUUAAAGGGUGCGCAGGCGGGCGUUUAAGUCAGCGGUGAAAGGUUCGGGCUCAACCGGAGCCGUGCCGUUGAUACUGGGUGUCUUGAAUGCGGUCAAGGCCGGCGGAAUGUGGCGUGUAGCGGUGAAAUGCAUAGAUAUGCCACAGAACACCGAUAGCGAAGGCAGCUGGCCGGGCCUGCAUUGACGCUCAGGCACGAAAGCGUGGGGAUCGAACAGGAUUAGAUACCCUGGUAGUCCACGCUGUAAACGAUGGACACUCGUUGUCGGCGACAGACAGUCGGCGGCCAAGCGAAAGUGAUAAGUGUCCCACCUGGGGAGUACGGUCGCAAGGCUGAAACUCAAAUGAAUUGACGGGG